This 211-nucleotide ribosomal RNA is filed under the name uncultured bacterium. Its description in RNAcentral is "partial 16S ribosomal RNA". It matches the Rfam family "Bacterial small subunit ribosomal RNA", at positions 568 to 775 of the family's 1533-position model. The record is from RNAcentral.
CGCGCAGGCGGCGCGUUAAGUCCGGGGGUGAAAUCCAUCGGCUCAACCGGUGGGGGGACCUUGGAUACUGGCGCACUGGAGUGCGGGAGAGGGAAGCGGAAUUCCACGUGUAACGGUGAAAUGUAUAGAUAUGUGGAGGAACACCGGUGGCGAAGGCGGCUUCCUGGACCGUAACUGACGCUGAGGCGCGAAAGCUGGGGGGAGCGAACAG